Molecule: RNA transcript, 2134 nt
Organism: Brachypodium distachyon (stiff brome)
Lineage: Eukaryota; Viridiplantae; Streptophyta; Magnoliopsida; Poales; Poaceae
Gene name: protein MAIN-LIKE 2
Exons: 8
Source: RefSeq, a predicted model, not a curated record
AUGGCGCUUCUUUCUGAGCACUACGAUCAACAUCACCGUGCGCAUAUGAUGCGGGAUGAAAUGCGGGAAUUAAAACCCUUGAAACUGAGAUCACACGGUGCCUCAUCAAACAUCAUGCGCUAUGAUGAGCGGUACACGCAGUACAUCGAGACGACAGGGCUCCUCCCCUUCAUACAUCUAGUUACCCGGUCCACGCCAUCCCUCAAUGGGGCUGCAAUCACGGCCCUUGUGGACCGGUGGAGGCCUGAGACGCACACAUUUCACCUCAUGACUGGGGAGAUGACGGUGACGCUAUAGGAUGUUUCUAUGAUCUUAGCACUUCCCAUCGAAGGAGAACCGGUAUGCAUGGACACCAACUCUUCGGGAUGGCGCGAGCAGAUGCAGGUUAUAAUUGGAAGCCCCCCCCCCCCCCCCCCCAAGUCCGAGGACCCCAUUCAUGAUAGAGUACCGGCGGGGGCUACUUAUACUUGGAUCACGCAGAGCUUUGCAGAGUGCCCCCCUAAUGCAAAUGAAGAGGUGGUUCAGCAGUACGUUCGUGUGUACGUGUGGUACGUUAUCACGAGGACACUCUUCGCCGGUGGCGGUGGUAGGACAGCCCAAUGGAUGUGGUUGAAGGCACUCACUGUAUGGGAUGCGAAUUGGAGCUGGGGUACAGCUGCGCUGGCGUAUCUGUACCGACAGUUGGAUGAUGCUUCUCGUAGGAUUGGUCCUGAGAGUGGGAUUGGCAGUCCUUUGCUCCUGCUUUCAAUAUGGAGUUGGGAGCGCUUCCUAGUAAGCCGGCCGAAGGUGCUGAACUUUCAUCCUUGGGAUGAUCAUGGCAAUCCGCUGCACCGACCAACAUGGGCAUACAAGUGGGAUCGUGUCUCCGAGAGCACGAGCUCGACAAAAAUUCUGUAUAAGCAAUACACUAACGAGUUCGAUGCCCUUACUCCGGAGCAGGUUGUUUGGCAGCCAUACGGUGCGGGGGAAACAUACGGUUAGACCUUCGAGUUUGAACUUAAUCCGAAGUGCCUGGAAGAACAACAUAUGUGGGUGAUGCACUGCCCAAUGGUAUGUUUGUGGGUCGUUGAAUUACAUUUGCCGCAUCGUGUCAUGGCACAAUUUGGAUUGUUUCAGACUAACCCGCCGAAGAGGAAGGACACGGGCAUCAGACUUCAUGAACUUGACAGGAAGAAGUGCAAGAAGAUCCAGAAUUGGCAUGUGGUUCAUGGGAACCAUGUCGACAAGUUUAAGCGGUGUCUUGAGAAGGCAAAUGAAGCUAGAGGAUCACAACUUCGAGAGCAUUGCCCACGGGCCUUUAGCAACUACGUGCGUUGGUAUCUCGCCAACACACAUGCCACCAUAUGUCCACCGGCUUACGACCCAGAAAUUCUGGAAGAGCCCGUGCUAUUCGAUGAGGUUGCAGACCUUGAGUACAACCGACUCGUAAGGGAAGGGUGCCAAACAGAUUUUGCUCAUGUCUUGAAGUUUGUGCGUGAGAAGAUCAGGAAGGAUGCCGAUGCGUGUGAGUCGGUCUUAGAAAGCACGGCUAAGUCACAGAACGGUGAUGGUACACUCCGAGACUUUGUGAAGUGAACCGGACAAAGACUACGCCGACUUGCCAACAUUAUAGAAUGCCGUGACACUGAGAUUGUAUCACCGUCACAGUCAUCUUCCUCCUCGCCUUCUGAUGAUGUACAAGCCUCCCCGGCUGACCUAGAAGACGAUGGAUCAAUGCAGGAAGGAGAUGAUGUGGAUGACAACACCACGUUGGAGGCAUGGCAACGAUCAGCGUUCGUACUCAAACCUAGGAAGCCGUUGAAGCGCUAUACCCCUUCAGAUUACGAGAAAAGAAGGAAGAUUGUUUAUGACGAUGAGGACGAAGAUCAGGAACAAGAAGAUGAGGACGUAGAAGAGCAAGAGGCUGAAGAUGAAGACGGAGGAGAGGAAGAGGAAGAAGAUGUUCAACCUCCUCGCCGACGAAAGACCGCGGUUGCGAAAGGCAAAGGCGUUAGACGGUCUACUAGGACACGCACGAAGAAGUAGACUAGCAAUGAACCUAUCUUAGUUUGGACCAUGUUUAUAUUUUUAUGAACUUGUGUGGAUUAUGUGGUCUAUGUUGCUAAACUUGUGUGGAUGAUGUGGCUUAAUUUAU